GUUCAUGAUGAAAACCUUACUCAGCUCACUCAGAGUCUACAAUGCUGAUAAAUAGUUCCUAAAACAUUCAUCAAAAUAUCUGAACAGAAC
This 90-nucleotide small nucleolar RNA is filed under the name Lodderomyces parapsilosis CDC317. The record is from RNAcentral. Lineage: Eukaryota; Fungi; Ascomycota; Pichiomycetes; Serinales; Debaryomycetaceae.